UACGUAGGGCGCGAGCGUUGUCCGGAAUUAUUGGGCGUAAAGAGCUCGUAGGCGGCCUGUUGCGUCCGCUGUGAAAUCCCAGGGCUCAACCCUGGGCGUGCAGUGGAUACGGGCAGGCUGGAGGCAGGCAGGGGAGAACGGAAUUCCCGGUGUAGCGGUGAAAUGCGCAGAUAGUCGGGAGGAACGACCGGUGGCGAAGGCCGGUUCUCUGGGCCUUACC
This 220-nucleotide ribosomal RNA is filed under the name uncultured bacterium. Its description in RNAcentral is "partial 16S ribosomal RNA". It matches the Rfam family "Bacterial small subunit ribosomal RNA", at positions 524 to 740 of the family's 1533-position model. The record is from RNAcentral.